This 311-nucleotide ribosomal RNA is filed under the name uncultured bacterium. RNAcentral describes it as "partial 16S ribosomal RNA". It matches the Rfam family "Bacterial small subunit ribosomal RNA", at positions 502 to 808 of the family's 1533-position model. The record is from RNAcentral.
UAAGAGACAGCAGCCGCCGCGGGAAUACAGAGGGUGCAAGCGUUAAUCGGAAUUACUGGGCGUAAAGCGUGCGUAGGCGGCUUCUUAAGUCGGAUGUGAAAUCCCUGAGCUUAACUUAGGAAUUGCAUUCGAUACUGGGAAGCUAGAGUAUGGGAGAGGAUGGUAGAAUUCCAGGUGUAGCGGUGAAAUGCGUAGAGAUCUGGAGGAAUACCGAUGGCGAAGGCAGCCAUCUGGCCUAAUACUGACGCUGAGGUACGAAAGCAUGGGGAGCAAACAGGAUUAGAUACCCCAGUAGCCCUGUCUCUUAUACC